This 633-nucleotide ribosomal RNA is filed under the name Kallymenia sessilis. RNAcentral's name for it is "eukaryotic LSU rRNA". It matches the Rfam family "Eukaryotic large subunit ribosomal RNA", at positions 1264 to 1920 of the family's 3401-position model. Lineage: Eukaryota; Rhodophyta; Florideophyceae; Gigartinales; Kallymeniaceae. The record is from RNAcentral. RNAcentral also lists the same sequence under 1 other name.
GAAUCCGCYAAGGAGUGUGUAACAACUCACCUGCCGAAUGAAUUAGCCCUGAAAAUGGAUGGCGCUCAAGCGGGCAACCGACACCACACCGUCUGAUAAAGAAUGAUGAUCAGAUGAGUAGGAGGGCGUGGUGGUUGUUUGGAAGCAUGUGUGCGAACACAUGUGGAACGGCCACUAGUGCAGAUCUUGGUGGUAGUAGCAAGUAAUCAAGUGAGAUCCUUGAUGGGCGACGCGGGGAAGGGUUCCAUGCGAACAUUGAUUGGGCAUGGGUGAGUCGUUCCUAAGCCGAAUGGUAAUUGCAAAAGAUCGGCGAAAGGGAAGCAGGUUGACAUUCCUGCACACGGAUGUGGAGGCGGUGACGCACAUUGAGGUGAAGACGUUGGCGGUGGCACUGGGCAGAGUUGUCUUUUCUGUUUAACCUGUUCAAGUGGGGUGUGGAAUCCAAUUGUUGGGAGAAACACGCAUUUGUGGUAAGAGCGUCGGGGUUUUUCCGGCGUCCAGAUCGCUACUGACGGCCCUUGAAAAUUUACCUAAUGAACAAAAUCCACGCCGUGGCGUACCGAUUACCGCAUCAGGUCCCCAAGGUGAACAGCCUCUGCUCAAUAUGAAUAAUGCAGGUAAGGGAAGUCGGCA